GAGUUUGAUCGUGGCUCAGAUUGAACGCUGGCGGCAUGCCUUACACAUGCAAGUCGAACGGCAGCAUGAUCUAGCUUGCUAGAUUGAUGGCGAGUGGCGAACGGGUGAGUAAUACGUCGGAACGUGCCCUGUAGUGGGGGAUAACUAGUCGAAAGAUUAGCUAAUACCGCAUACGACCUGAGGGUGAAAGUGGGGGACCGCAGGGCCUCAUGCUAUAGGAGCGGCCGAUGUCUGAUUAGCUAGUUGGUGGGUAAAGGCCCACCAAGGCGACGAUCAGUAGCUGGUCUGAGAGGACGAUCAGCCACACUGGGACUGAGACACGGCCCAGACUCCUACGGGAGGCAGCAGUGGGGAAUUUUGGACAAUGGGCGAAAGCCUGAUCCAGCAAUGCCGCGUGUGUGAAGAAGGCC
RNAcentral lists this ribosomal RNA (410 nucleotides) under uncultured microorganism. RNAcentral describes it as "bacterial SSU rRNA". It matches the Rfam family "Bacterial small subunit ribosomal RNA", at positions 9 to 416 of the family's 1533-position model. The record is from RNAcentral.